AUGCUCACUUUGGCAGUACAUAUGUUAUAAUUGGAAUGAUACAGAGAUUAGCAUGGCCCCUGCACAAGGAUGACAGGCAAAUUUGUGAAGUAUUCCAUGAUUUU
Nyctereutes procyonoides (raccoon dog) is the source of this 104-nucleotide small nuclear RNA. NCBI's taxonomy places the organism in Eukaryota, Metazoa, Chordata, Mammalia, Carnivora, Canidae. The record is from RefSeq and is a predicted model, not a curated record.